Molecule: small RNA, 1062 nt
Filed under: Vigna angularis var. angularis
Lineage: Eukaryota; Viridiplantae; Streptophyta; Magnoliopsida; Fabales; Fabaceae
Description: Non-protein coding transcript
Source: RNAcentral
AUAAUGAGUGAGUGAGUGUGACUAAUGUGGCUUGGUUUUUGUGCCUUCAAAACCAAAAUGAGUAUUGACGAUCAAAUUUCUGUUGGGUGACCUUUUUGCCAACAUCAGAUAGGCAUCUAAAUUCAACCUUUCCACGUUUUUCUCCUUUGACGGGACUAACAGCAGAGAUCUUUUCGAAAAUUUCACCCACAAACCCUUUUGGUUUUUGCACAUAUUCAUCUUCCGUAGAAUCAAUCAAAAUAUUCUUCUCUUCACCUGCAAAACCUUUCCAAAGGUGAUUUUGGGUCACAUGCUUCAAGUUCCUUGGUGGUAGCAUUAUAUUAAUAUUGCUGUUAUUUCCUAUGGACCCUGAUUUCUGUUUAUUUAACUCAUCAUUAGAGUGAAACAUGUUAUCAGGGGUGCUUGUGGUGAAAAAUGAAUAAAACGAUGAAGACCCUGCGGAGGACGACGAUGUUGGAGAUGGACACUUCACUGAACUUCCAAACCCUUGUAUUCCGUUUGUUAUUUUCAGAGCCUUCAAACGUGCUUCUGUCAGAGCUUCUGCAUUCUGUAAAAGCUUCACUAUUUCGUCUGAUAGUUUUUGCAUUCUGGAUCCCCAAUUGAACCUGUUGAUUGCCAUAGGAGCAAACUCUUGAGGGCCAUGGGUGAGCAAGAAUUCCAGAAGAACCAUUGUUUUGUAUGCUUGCCUCCACUGCUCCCAAUCCACGUUAUACAACCUGCACUUUAAACGAUAUAGUAAAGAAGCAGUGGAUAUAAACUCCAGAGAAAUGUAUAAUAAUGUCAGCUUAAAGAUAUACAAAAAAGGGUGUCAAUGAAGAAGCAUACCUAUGAUGAAGAAUAUCAACAAUUCUCCAAUACUCAUCUAUGUCAAAUGAUGCCUCGGCAAUUCUGGUCAUAGUUUUGGCAUCAGGACUGCAAUCAUCCUUAUUUGUUGCUUCCUCUGCCAGCCUGAUGAUAUUGUAUUAUAGGUAUGUUAAUGCCUCUCUAAUCUCAAAGCUGCAACUCUUCUGGAAACUAUGAAUAUGAAUUAACAGUAAAGGAGCUACAUUUAUUUACUGGUCA